This 465-nucleotide ribosomal RNA is filed under the name uncultured bacterium. RNAcentral's name for it is "partial 16S ribosomal RNA". It matches the Rfam family "Bacterial small subunit ribosomal RNA", at positions 28 to 507 of the family's 1533-position model. The record is from RNAcentral.
GACGAACGCUGGCGGCGUGCUUAACACAUGCAAGUCGAACGGAAAGGCCCUGCUUGCAGGGUACUCGAGUGGCGAACGGGUGAGUAACACGUGGGUGAUCUGCCCUGCACUUCUGGAUAAGCCUGGGAAACUGGGUCUAAUACCGGAUAGGAGCCAUUUUUAGUGUGAUGGUUGGAAAGUUUUUUCGGUGUAGGAUGAGCUCGCGGCCUAUCAGCUUGUUGGUGGGGUAAUGGCCUACCAAGGCGGCGACGGGUAGCCGGCCUGAGAGGGUGGACGGCCACAUUGGGACUGAGAUACGGCCCAGACUCCUACGGGAGGCAGCGGUGGGGAAUAUUGCACAAUGGGCGCAAGCCUGAUGCAGCGACGCCGCGUGGGGGAUGACGGCCUUCGGGUUGUAAACUCCUUUCGCUAGGGACGAAGCUUUUUGUGACGGUACCUAGAUAAGAAGCACCGGCUAACUACGUG